UGGCUGUGAGGAUAAUCCUUAAAGUGAAUGGCAGUGAUCAUUUAAUACGCUAUUCUGAGCCAACA
Molecule: small nucleolar RNA, 65 nt
Organism: Columba livia (rock pigeon)
Lineage: Eukaryota; Metazoa; Chordata; Aves; Columbiformes; Columbidae
Product: small nucleolar RNA U54
Exons: 1
Source: RefSeq, a predicted model, not a curated record